AACACGCCUGAUCUCAUCUGAUCUCAGAAGCCAAA
Sorex araneus (European shrew) is the source of this 35-nucleotide ribosomal RNA. The record is from Ensembl. NCBI's taxonomy places the organism in Eukaryota, Metazoa, Chordata, Mammalia, Eulipotyphla, Soricidae.